GCGGCGGACGGGUUAGUAACGCGUGGGAACAUACCCUACACUAAGGAAUAGCCUUUGGAAACGAAGAGUAAUACCUUAUACGCCCUUCGGGGGAAAGAUUUAUCGGUGAAGGAUUGGCCCGCGUUAGAUUAGAUAGUUGGUGGGGUAAUGGCCUACCAAGUCUACGAUCUAUAGCUGGUUUGAGAGGAUGAUCAGCAACACUGGGACUGAGACACGGCCCAGACUCCUACGGGAGGCAGCAGUGGGGAAUCUUAGACAAUGGGCGCAAGCCUGAUCUAGCGAUGCCGCGUGAGUGACGAAGGCCCUAGGGUCGUAAAGCUCUUUCGCCAGGGAUGAUAAUGACAGUACCUGGUAAAGAAACCCCGGCUAACUCCGUGCCAGCAGCCGCGGUAAUACGGAGGGGGUUAGCGUUGUUCGGAAUUACUGGGCGUAAAGCGUACGUAGGCGGACUAGUCAGUCAGAGGUGAAAUCCCAGGGCUCAACCCUGGAACUGCCUUUGAUACUGCUAGUCUUGAGUUC
Molecule: ribosomal RNA, 519 nt
Filed under: Litoreibacter sp.
Lineage: Bacteria; Pseudomonadati; Pseudomonadota; Alphaproteobacteria; Rhodobacterales; Roseobacteraceae
Description: bacterial SSU rRNA
Rfam family: Bacterial small subunit ribosomal RNA
Source: RNAcentral